ACUGGUAAAGUACUUGAAUAUGGUAUCGCUGUGACAAAUUAAUGGUGCAUCACAAUAUUCAUGUCCAAAAAAGGUGUUAGUAAAGUACUUGAUUAUGGUAUCGCUGUGACAAAUUAAUGGUGCAUCACAAUAUUCAUGUCCAAAAAAGGUGUUAUUACCAUGAAGCUUUCAAUAUUUUACAGGUAUACAUGUGCAGAUCCUGACUUAUGAAUCACUUUGAAAACACAGACUGAAGCAUGAAAAAUCAGUACCUUGAUUCGCAAUAUAGAUGAGUUAGCAAUGCAUAUAAUGAUUGCUAUUCUCCUGAG
RNAcentral lists this long non-coding RNA (308 nucleotides) under Musa acuminata (dwarf banana). Its description in RNAcentral is "long non-coding RNA (MACU_LNC001344)". Lineage: Eukaryota; Viridiplantae; Streptophyta; Magnoliopsida; Zingiberales; Musaceae. The record is from RNAcentral.